Molecule: long non-coding RNA, 1228 nt
Filed under: Cricetulus griseus (Chinese hamster)
Lineage: Eukaryota; Metazoa; Chordata; Mammalia; Rodentia; Cricetidae
Description: lncRNA (ENSCGRG00000025747.1)
Source: RNAcentral
ACCUGCAUGCGCUGCCUCACAGUGAGACCCUGGCUCAAAACACACGUACACAUACGGUCUGAGGACAUAGCUCAGUGGUGGAGGACCCUUUAAUAUGUAAAAUGUGCCUAGGUUCAAUCUGCAGUACCAUAAAAACAAAUAAGAAAAACCCACUGUGCGGGCUCUGGCCCUUAAAAUAUUUUCAGUUCAAGCUUAGUUUUUUGUUGAUGUUUUGAUAUGGGUGUGUGAUCAAAAGAGUUGAGUUGAGUCUUUUCUUCCUUUAUGUAGGGGCUGGGGAUUGAACUCAGGUCUCCAGGCUGUUAUCUCACCGGUUCCCUUCCCUGUUCUCUCUCUCUCUCUCUCUCUCUCUCUCUCUUUCUAAACUUGGUUGGGUUGUUUUGCUUUUCAUCAAACUCAUCAUGUCUGAGGUCAGAACUUGCAAGACAGUAGUAACACAGAUUUAAAAAGAUGGAAAUUCUCUCCCAGUGACUUUCUGUACAGGCAUUAGUCACCAGCUGUGUCAUCGGCAUGACAAGGCAAAAUUAUCCUAGUGGAUGCCUGUGGCUUAGACGCUGGGAGAAUCUUAGCAGCUCCUUGUACAGAAAUGUACAUGGGAGCUUCUGUUUGGCCCCUUCCCCAUCUGAUUGGAAGGUGAUCAUGGCUCCACCAAACCUCAGACUGUAACCUCUCCUCAGGCUGGAGAAUCCUGAGAGUUCAAUGUCUUCCAAUCCUCAAUGUGGCUGGAGAAUGAAUGCCUGAUACUGACUACUGAAGACCCUGCUCCUAUCUUUUAUACCCCUCUAGUGUGAUUCCAGGUGCUGAGAUCAUCUUUGUGUGAGCUAUUUCUCUUUAGGACUGGAUCAGUCUUGUGUAGAUCUGGUGGCCUUGGACUCAGAGAUCUGUCUACUUGUUAAUCCUGAGUCCUAGGAUUAAAGGUAUGUACCAUCACCUCCUAGCUUCUGGCUGUGGGGAUUAAAGGUGUGUAUCACCACUGUCUGAUCUCUCUAUAACUUGAGGCUGAUGUUGCUUUCUGAAUCCUCAGGUAAGUCUUAAAUCACAUAUAUCACCAAAAUUCCCCCUUUUUGUCUAAUACAAAAAGAAAACUACUAACAUAAGAAAAACUAAAUACAAUAAGUACAAUAAGUAUAUACAAUAUAUACAGGCAAUAAGUUUGUCAAUAAUGUCUAGUCCAUUUGCAUUUGACAAAUUCAGAGAAAAUACUUCAUUAUCUGUCCUAUCUUGGUGAGUC